Molecule: ribosomal RNA, 497 nt
Filed under: uncultured bacterium
Lineage: Bacteria
Description: partial 16S ribosomal RNA
Rfam family: Bacterial small subunit ribosomal RNA
Source: RNAcentral
GAUGAACGCUGGCGGCGUGCCUAAUACAUGCAAGUCGAGCGAACGGACGGGAAGCUUGCUUCUCUGAUGUUAGCGGCGGACGGGUGAGUAACACGUGGAUAACCUACCUAUAAGACUGGGAUAACUUCGGGAAACCGGAGCUAAUACCGGAUGAUAUUUUGAACCGCAUGGUUCAAAAGUGAAAGACGGUCUUGCUGUCACUUAUAGAUGGAUCCGCGCUGCAUUAGCUAGUUGGUAAGGUAACGGCUUACCAAGGCAACGAUGCAUAGCCGACCUGAGAGGGGGAUCGGCCACACUGGAACUGAGACACGGUCCAGACUCCUACGGGAGGCAGCAGUAGGGAAUCUUCCGCAAUGGGCGAAAGCCUGACGGAGCAACGCCGCGUGAGUGAUGAAGGUCUUCGGAUCGUAAAACUCUGUUAUUAGGGAAGAACAUAUGUGUAAGUAACUGUGCACAUCUUGACGGUACCUAAUCAGAAAGCCACGGCUAACUACGUG